UCGAGGAUCUUCGGCAAUGGGCGCAAGCCUGACCGAGCGACGCCGCGUGUGGGAUGAAGGCCUUCGGGUUGUAAACCACUGUCAGGGGGGAUGAAGUCCCGAUGGGUACUCCCAUCGGGAACGCUUGACACAUCCCCAGAGGAAGCACGGGCUAAGUUCGUGCCAGCAGCCGCGGUAAGACGAACCGUGCGAACGUUGUUCGGAUUCACUGGGCUUAAAGGGCGCGUAGGCGGUCCGCCAAGUCCGGGGUGAAAUCUUUCGGCUCAACCGGAAAAUUGCCUCGGAUACUGGCGGUCUAGAAGAGGGUAGGGGCCGCGGGAACUUCCAGUGGAGCGGUGAAAUGCGUUGAUAUUGGAAGGAACGCCGGUGGCGAAAGCGCGCGGCUGGACCCUCCUUGACGCUGAGGCGCGAAAGCUAGGGUAGCGAACGG
This 430-nucleotide ribosomal RNA is filed under the name uncultured bacterium. Its description in RNAcentral is "bacterial SSU rRNA". It matches the Rfam family "Bacterial small subunit ribosomal RNA", at positions 355 to 775 of the family's 1533-position model. The record is from RNAcentral.